Long non-coding RNA from Ostrea edulis (European flat oyster), 2474 nucleotides. RefSeq lists it as uncharacterized. The record is from RefSeq and is a predicted model, not a curated record. The transcript has 4 exons. NCBI's taxonomy places the organism in Eukaryota, Metazoa, Mollusca, Bivalvia, Ostreida, Ostreidae.
GGAGGAUCCAAUUGUUUUCCUAAGAGUUAUAGUGGAUCUAAGAGGGGUGGAAGAUGUAAAAUAGUUUAUGAACUCUUCUCCUCCCAUAUGGCUUAUUGGAUAGACUUGAAACUUUGUACAAUGCUUAAUUGUCAUUUGUAGAUGUGCAUAUUGUCGGAAUGGGAGGAUCCAAAGUUUUUCCUAAAAGAUAUAGUGGAUCUAAAAGGGGUGGAGGAUGUUAAAAUACCUUGUGAACACUUCUCCUAUAUGGCUUAUCUGAUAGACUUGAGAAUUUGUACAAUGCUUCAAUGCCAUUUGUAGAUGUGCAAGUUGUAGGGACAGGAGGAUCCAAUUGCUAUCCUUAAAGUUAAAGUGGAUCUGAGGGGUGUAGGGUAUAAAAUAGUUUGUGAACGCUUCUCCUCCUAUAUGGUUUAUCAGAGUUCAUGUCUAUCUUCCUGCCCAUGCUUUCUCCUCCAUACUAUUCAAUACAUUAAGGGGGAUGUUUCCUAUAUUUUACGAAUUAAUUGGUUGAUUGACAACAAACUUGGUACACUUUUACAGCAUAUAUAAGGAGUAGAUGACCCCUAUUGAUUCUUAGGUCACAUGGUCAGUCCACUCUUGACAUAGGAAGGUAUUGUCUGCUCAAUAUUUUGAAUUGGUGUAACUACUAUCAAUUAAAUGAGGCACGGGUAUAACCCUUUCAAUUUUGCAACUUGGGGGGCAUAUGUGUUUUAGAAACAUCUCUUGUGUUGUAUUAUAUGAAUUACAGUUUUUAGUGUGCUCAGUUUAGAGAAUAGCAUAAAAGUAUUUGAUAAUUAAAUAUCUUACAGAUUGGCAGUUUACUCCAUGCACCGAAAGGAAUGAUAAACUGUGAUAUUCGUAAAUGGAACUGGAACACGUUCUAAAUAUACUCAGGGACAGAAUGAUGUGCAGCAAGGCUCGUCAUGGAUUUUACCAAAUACAGAACACUGCAAGGCUUGCAAAAUGAAGACCUCAGUAAAAAAAAUUCUAAAUUAUCCACUAAUGGCAGCUCACUACCCGCCCCUUGUGAUGUUAAAAGAGGCCGUUGUUUUCAUUUGUUCCAAAACAGGAAUGGCAUAUGAGGAGGCCAACAGAAGAUGCACCUCCACUGACCUCCACUGAGUGUGCACUCACAAAACGAAUAAAUUAUUAUUAUUUCUUUUGUUUGUAAUUGUAUAUUGUCAACAAGGUCAAAGGCACUUGAUCCGAUGCCAAACUUUUGCAUUUCUUUUGCUUUGUGGUAAAUUUUCUUCAGCAACAUUAACAUUGUUUAAAUUGUUUUCUUUGGAGAGUUUACAUGUACACAUGGAUCAUUUGUAUAUUAGAAUUAUAGCAUUGUUUAAUUCAACUCAUUCUUAUCAUAGAGAGGUUAUUAUAUACUGCAGGCAACGACUUGUAAAGGGUAUACUGUUUUAACUCACAUGCAAGGCAGUAUUAUGAAACUCUGUAGUUGAUAAGGACAUAUAUCACAUAUCGAUAUGCAUAUUUACAGGAAACUCUGAUGUAUUUUAAAUCUGAACGUUAAUUUAAAAGUGGGGAGAAAUAGCAUUGGAUGAAAAAAGACACAUAUGAAGAAAAUUAUUCCAUACGUAAAUACUUUUUAGCUCACCUGAGCUGAAAGCUCAAGUGAGCUUUUCUGAUCGCCUGUUGUUCAUUGUCUGUCCGUGCAUGAUUAAACAUUUUAUAUUUUCUCCAGAAGCACUGGGCCAAUAAUAACCAAACUUAACCAAAAGUAUCCUUGGGUAAAGGGCUUUCGAGUUUGUUCAAAUGAAGGGCCAUGCCCUCUUCAAAGGGGAGAUGACCACAAAAAUAGGGUGGGUCAUUUAAUUUUUUUUAUCAAGAACCAUUGGGCCAGAAGAGCUGAAAUGUACAUGAAAGCUUCCUGACAUAGUACAGAUUCAAGUUUAUUGAAAUCAUGGCCUCCUGGGGUUGUAUGGGGCCACAAUAGAGAAUCAAAGUUUUACAUACAAUUAUUCAGGAAAACUCUUUCAAUAUGAGCCAAGGUGGCUCAGGUGAGCGAUGUGGCCCAUGGGCCUCUUGUUCAACAUAUAGAAUAAAUAGUUAUGUUGUAUUUCCCAUGGAACAUUGAAACGUUUAAUGUGUUUACCAAUUAAUCACUGAAAGAAAGAUAAAAUUGUUGUUUCAUAUGUUUUAUGAAAACUUAAAGAUGUUUCAUUUCUUUUCAUGAAAGACCCCUUAAUUACCCAGUAAUAUAUAAUCAAUUCUUAACAGAUUAUGUAAAUUUGAUUUAUAUUAAGGAUGUUUGAUCUGAUUACCCAUCAUUAUCAAUCUGUCUAAUAUGGCCAUCAUGUGUUACUAUUGCUACGCAAUCUUGGAGCAUGAGGUAGAAUGCGAGCCAGCUCUUUCAUAAGUACAUGUAUCUGGAAAAUAUUUCAAUGUCAAAGGUUACAACAAUGUGAUAAUUUAAUCAUUGUAUGUCUAAGGUGUUGAUAAUAAAACUGUUAUCUGUUCAA